GAAAAGACAAACCCUGGGUUUCCGUGUCUAACUCUAACUAUCUGUCUUAUAUAAAAUUUUUUUAUAAUUCGUAUUUUUAUUGUUGUUAGAUGAUAAAACAUGAUUAAUAUUUUAUGCGUGACUUAUCUUUUAAAUUUUUUUUUAUAAUUUUUUCAAAUAAGACGGACGGUCAAACGUUUGACACGAAAAACAGAGUUUGUCUUUUUU
Non-coding RNA from Oryza glumipatula, 207 nucleotides. The record is from Rfam. Lineage: Eukaryota; Viridiplantae; Streptophyta; Magnoliopsida; Poales; Poaceae.